AGUGAACGCUGGCGGCGUGCCUAAUACAUGCAAGUCGAACGAAGUGGCGCACGGGUGAGUAAUAUAUAGUUAAUCUGCCCUACACAGAGGAACAACAGUUGGAAACGGCUGCUAAUACCUCAUAGGUUAGGAUGAGACUAUGUCGUAUCAGCUAGUUGGUAAGGUAAUGGCUUACCAAGGCGAUGACGCGUAACUGGUCUGAGAGGAUGAUCACUCGAAUUCUAACGGAGACACCAGCCAGGCACCUACGAGAGGCAGCAGUAAGGAAUAUUACGCAAUGGGGGAAACCCUGACGCAGCAACGCCGCGUGAAGGACUAUACUUUGCGGAGCGUAAACUCCUGUUAUUAGGAAAGCGGUACCUGAUGAAUAAGCACCGGCUAACUCCGUGCCAGCAGCCGCGGUAAUUC
Molecule: ribosomal RNA, 408 nt
Filed under: uncultured bacterium
Lineage: Bacteria
Description: partial 16S ribosomal RNA
Rfam family: Bacterial small subunit ribosomal RNA
Source: RNAcentral